GAUGAACGCUAGCGGCAGGCUUAAUACAUGCAAGUCGAGGGGGCAGCAAUGUCACCGGCGAACGGGUGCGUAACACGUAUGCAACCUACCUAUAUCAGGGGGAUAGCCCGAGGAAACUCGGAUUAAUACCGCAUAAUAUUAGGAUCGGCAUCGAUUUUCAUUGAAAGAUUUAUUGGAUAUAGAUGGGCAUGCGUAGGAUUAGCUAGUUGGUAAGGUAACGGCUUACCAAGGCUACGAUCCUUAGGGGCUCGGAGAGGAGUAUCCCCCACACUGGCACUGAGAUACGGGCCAGACUCCUACGGGAGGCAGCAGUAGGGAAUAUUGGGCAAUGGGCGAAAGCCUGACCCAGCCAUGCCGCGUGCAGGACGACGGCCCUCUGGGUUGUAAACUGCUUUUGAAUGGGAAGAAAGGUAUGCUUGCGAGCGUAAUUGACGGUACCAUUAGAAUAAGCCACGGCUAACUACGUGCCAGCAGCCGCCGUAA
RNAcentral lists this ribosomal RNA (483 nucleotides) under uncultured bacterium. Its description in RNAcentral is "partial 16S ribosomal RNA". It matches the Rfam family "Bacterial small subunit ribosomal RNA", at positions 28 to 523 of the family's 1533-position model. The record is from RNAcentral.